This 3028-nucleotide ribosomal RNA is filed under the name Salmonella enterica subsp. enterica serovar Waycross. Its description in RNAcentral is "23S ribosomal RNA". It matches the Rfam family "Bacterial large subunit ribosomal RNA". Lineage: Bacteria; Pseudomonadati; Pseudomonadota; Gammaproteobacteria; Enterobacterales; Enterobacteriaceae. The record is from RNAcentral.
GGGUUGUGAGGUUAAGCGACUAAGCGUACACGGUGGAUGCCCUGGCAGUCAGAGGCGAUGAAGGGCGUGCUAAUCUGCGAUAAGCGCCGGUAAGGUGAUAUGAACCGUUAUAACCGGCGAUACCCGAAUGGGGAAACCCAGUGUGAUUCGUCACACUAUCAUUAACUGAAUCCAUAGGUUAAUGAGGCGAACCGGGGGAACUGAAACAUCUAAGUACCCCGAGGAAAAGAAAUCAACCGAGAUUCCCCCAGUAGCGGCGAGCGAACGGGGAGGAGCCCAGAGCCUGAAUCAGCAUGUGUGUUAGUGGAAGCGUCUGGAAAGGCGCGCGAUACAGGGUGACAGCCCCGUACACAAAAGCGCAUGUGCUGUGAGCUCGAUGAGUAGGGCGGGACACGUGGUAUCCUGUCUGAAUAUGGGGGGACCAUCCUCCAAGGCUAAAUACUCCUGACUGACCGAUAGUGAACCAGUACCGUGAGGGAAAGGCGAAAAGAACCCCGGCGAGGGGAGUGAAAAAGAACCUGAAACCGUGUACGUACAAGCAGUGGGAGCCCCACCACUAAGCCAGUGGUGAACUCCACAUACGCAUCCUUUGCUGAGGAUACGGUUAACGGAGCGAAAGCGACGUUCAACCGCAAAAGAAGCAGAGGGGGCUUAGUGGUGGGGUGACUGCGUACCUUUUGUAUAAUGGGUCAGCGACUUAUAUUCUGUAGCAAGGUUAACCGAAUAGGGGAGCCGCAGGGAAACCGAGUCUUAAUUGGGCGUUAAGUUGCAGGGUAUAGACCCGAAACCCGGUGAUCUAGCCAUGGGCAGGUUGAAGGUUGGGUAACACUAACUGGAGGACCGAACCGACUAAUGUUGAAAAAUUAGCGGAUGACCUGUGGCUGGGGGUGAAAGGCCAAUCAAACCGGGAGAUAGCUGGUUCUCCCCGAAAGCUAUUUAGGUAGCGCCUCGUGAAUUCAUCUCCGGGGGUAGAGCACUGUUUCGGCUAGGGGGCCAUCCCGGCUUACCAACCCGAUGCAAACUGCGAAUACCGGAGAAUGUUAUCACGGGAGACACACGGCGGGUGCUAACGUCCGUCGUGAAGAGGGAAACAACCCAGACCGCCAGCUAAGGUCCCAAAGUCAUGGUUAAGUGGGAAACGAUGUGGGAAGGCCCAGACAGCCAGGAUGUUGGCUUAGAAGCAGCCAUCAUUUAAAGAAAGCGUAAUAGCUCACUGGUCGAGUCGGCCUGCGCGGAAGAUGUAACGGGGCUAAACCAUGCACCGAAGCUGCGGCAGCGACGCUGAUGCGUUGUUGGGUAGGGGAGCGUUCUGUAAGCCUGUGAAGGUGGCCUGUGAGGGUUGCUGGAGGUAUCAGAAGUGCGAAUGCUGACAUAAGUAACGAUAAAGCGGGUGAAAAGCCCGCUCGCCGGAAGACCAAGGGUUCCUGUCCAACGUUAAUCGGGGCAGGGUGAGUCGACCCCUAAGGCGAGGCCGAAAGGCGUAGUCGAUGGGAAACGGGUUAAUAUUCCCGUACUUGGUGUUACUGCGAAGGGGGGACGGAGAAGGCUAUGUUGGCCGGGCGACGGUUGUCCCGGUUUAAGCGUGUAGGUGUGUGUUCCAGGUAAAUCCGGUUCACUUUAACACUGAGGCGUGACGACGAGGCACUACGGUGCUGAAGCAACAAAUGCCCUGCUUCCAGGAAAAGCCUCUAAGCAUCAGGUAACAUCAAAUCGUACCCCAAACCGACACAGGUGGUCAGGUAGAGAAUACCAAGGCGCUUGAGAGAACUCGGGUGAAGGAACUAGGCAAAAUGGUGCCGUAACUUCGGGAGAAGGCACGCUGACACGUAGGUGAAGUGAUUUACUCAUGGAGCUGAAGUCAGUCGAAGAUACCAGCUGGCUGCAACUGUUUAUUAAAAACACAGCACUGUGCAAACACGAAAGUGGACGUAUACGGUGUGACGCCUGCCCGGUGCCGGAAGGUUAAUUGAUGGGGUCAGCGCAAGCGAAGCUCCUGAUCGAAGCCCCGGUAAACGGCGGCCGUAACUAUAACGGUCCUAAGGUAGCGAAAUUCCUUGUCGGGUAAGUUCCGACCUGCACGAAUGGCGUAAUGAUGGCCAGGCUGUCUCCACCCGAGACUCAGUGAAAUUGAACUCGCUGUGAAGAUGCAGUGUACCCGCGGCAAGACGGAAAGACCCCGUGAACCUUUACUAUAGCUUGACACUGAACAUUGAGCCUUGAUGUGUAGGAUAGGUGGGAGGCUUUGAAGUGUGGACGCCAGUCUGCAUGGAGCCGACCUUGAAAUACCACCCUUUAAUGUUUGAUGUUCUAACGUGGACCCGUGAUCCGGGUUGCGGACAGUGUCUGGUGGGUAGUUUGACUGGGGCGGUCUCCUCCUAAAGAGUAACGGAGGAGCACGAAGGUUGGCUAAUCCUGGUCGGACAUCAGGAGGUUAGUGCAAUGGCAUAAGCCAGCUUGACUGCGAGCGUGACGGCGCGAGCAGGUGCGAAAGCAGGUCAUAGUGAUCCGGUGGUUCUGAAUGGAAGGGCCAUCGCUCAACGGAUAAAAGGUACUCCGGGGAUAACAGGCUGAUACCGCCCAAGAGUUCAUAUCGACGGCGGUGUUUGGCACCUCGAUGUCGGCUCAUCACAUCCUGGGGCUGAAGUAGGUCCCAAGGGUAUGGCUGUUCGCCAUUUAAAGUGGUACGCGAGCUGGGUUUAGAACGUCGUGAGACAGUUCGGUCCCUAUCUGCCGUGGGCGCUGGAGAACUGAGGGGGGCUGCUCCUAGUACGAGAGGACCGGAGUGGACGCAUCACUGGUGUUCGGGUUGUCAUGCCAAUGGCACUGCCCGGUAGCUAAAUGCGGAAGAGAUAAGUGCUGAAAGCAUCUAAGCACGAAACUUGCCCCGAGAUGAGUUCUCCCUGAGACUUAGAGUCUCCUGAAGGAACGUUGAAGACGACGACGUUGAUAGGCCGGGUGUGUAAGCGCAGCGAUGCGUUGAGCUAACCGGUACUAAUGAACCGUGAGGCUUAACCUUACAACGCCGAAG